Molecule: ribosomal RNA, 372 nt
Filed under: uncultured organism
Description: bacterial SSU rRNA
Rfam family: Bacterial small subunit ribosomal RNA
Source: RNAcentral
CGUAGGGGGCAAGCGUUGUCCGGAUUUAUUGGGCGUAAAGAGCGUGUAGGCGGCUUGGCAAGUCCGCUGUGAAAACUCGAGGCUCAACCUCGAGACGUCGGUGGAAACUGCCUCGCUAGAGUCCGGAAGAGGAGAGUGGAAUUCCUGGUGUAGCGGUGAAAUGCGCAGAUAUCAGGAAGAACACCCGUGGCUAAGGCGGCUCUCUAGUACGGUACUGACGCUGAGACGCGAAAGCGUGGGGAGCGAACAGGAUUAGAUACCCUGGUAGUCCACGCCGUAAACGAUGGGUGCUAGGUGUGGGCGGUGUCGACUCCGUCCGUGCCGAAGCUAACGCAUUAAGCACCCCGCCUGGGGAGUACGGCCGCAAGGCUA